RNAcentral lists this ribosomal RNA (629 nucleotides) under uncultured bacterium. Its description in RNAcentral is "bacterial SSU rRNA". It matches the Rfam family "Bacterial small subunit ribosomal RNA", at positions 554 to 1196 of the family's 1533-position model. The record is from RNAcentral.
CUGGGCGUAAGCGCGCGCAGGCGGUCCUGAAAGUCGAAUGUGAAAGCUCCUGGCUCAACUGGGAGAGGCCGUUCGAAACUUCGGGACUUGAAGGCGGGAGAGGCAGAUGGAAUUUCCGGUGUAGCGGUAAAAUGCGUAGAUACCGGAAGGAACACCAGUGGCGAAAGCGAUCUGCUGGCCCGCCCUUGACGCUCAGGCGCGAAAGCUAGGGGAGCGACCGGGAUUAGAUACCCCGUUAGUCCUAGCUGUAAACAAUGGGCACUAGGUGUUGUCGGUAUCGACCCCGGCAGUGCCGUAGCUAACGCAUUAAGUGCCCCGCCUGGGGAGUACGGCCGCAAGGCUAAAACUCAAAGAAAUUGACGGGGGCCCGCACAAGCAGCGGAGCGUGCGGUUCAAUUCGAUGGUACGCGAAGAACCUUACCCAGACUUGACAUGCAAGUGGUAGCGAGCCGAAAGGUAAGCGACCCGCAAGGGAGCUUGCACAGGUGUUGCACGGCCGUCGUCAGCUCGUGUCGUGAGAUGUUGGGUUAAGUCCCGCAACGAGCGCAACCCUCGGGAUCUGUUGUACCCCUCAGAUCCGACUGCCGAGAGAAACUCGGAGGAAGGUGGGGAUGAUGUCAGGUCAGCGU